RNAcentral lists this transfer RNA (68 nucleotides) under Anatoma sp. MNHN-IM-2013-42003. Its description in RNAcentral is "tRNA-Ile". The record is from RNAcentral. Lineage: Eukaryota; Metazoa; Mollusca; Gastropoda; Pleurotomariida; Scissurellidae.
GGUGUUGUGCCGGAAUUAAACGGAAUGCGAUGAUGGUGCAUAAUAUGUAAUGUCAGUUACCUUCACCU